Molecule: long non-coding RNA, 397 nt
Filed under: Nicotiana benthamiana
Lineage: Eukaryota; Viridiplantae; Streptophyta; Magnoliopsida; Solanales; Solanaceae
Description: long non-coding RNA (NBEN_LNC010133)
Source: RNAcentral
AAAACAAAUUGAGCAAGAUGCAAUUAUCUUGCUCGGCCGCCAUGAGCGACCCCCAAUGCACACUUGAGCGCGCAAGUACUACAAAAGUCUAUCGGAGGUGCGCCGCCAUGAGUGCAAUCAUACUCCUAGGUGUAGCCGUGCACAUCCAUCUUCAGGAAUUCAACCCAUGCCUGUUGUUUUAAUUUUGGAGGCAGCCUUUUAGCCUAUAUGAAGCUUAACUCGUCCCAAAAUAAGGCAUCUCGGACUUUGGAGCAAUUUUUGGAGAUAAGAAGGCAAUGAAAUAAGAUAGACUCUGAAUACUUUAUCCAAUUCAUUUAAUAUGCAAGUUUCUUUGAUUUUGGGGAUUGUAACUCCGCAAGAAGAGUAAUUAGGACCAAUUUAGUUAUUUUUACCUUCC